Molecule: long non-coding RNA, 2320 nt
Organism: Seriola aureovittata
Lineage: Eukaryota; Metazoa; Chordata; Actinopteri; Carangiformes; Carangidae
Exons: 6
Source: RefSeq, a predicted model, not a curated record
UGCGCAUGUCAGAAACGAACAAACGAACUUGCGGCGAGAAGGCAAGAUACACCUGAGCUGGAUCAUUUAAUUACUUCAUCACAGACUAGCUAACAAGUGAGAUGCAUUGAUGGACCUAGUUACAUGACUGGCGACUGGACCAACGUUCUUAUGACCUGACCAGAACCUUCUGCAGCAACAGAAGUUGUCUAAAGAAAGAUCAUCAACCUCCAGGCUGCGUCAGAUUAGGUGAUGUGCAGCAACCUGUCGCUGAAGACUAGAAGACUGCUGGCAAGUACACAUGGGUCACGAUGAAACACACCACUCCAUUCCCCACCAUGCACACGAGGAAGAUCAGCAGGUAGGACACGAUGAAGAUGGCUGCUGUGGACGGCUGAUGCAGUUUGUGAUGCUGCUGCUCUGACACUAGAGGGAGCUACUGACCCAGAAACCAUGAGGAACGUCAUCUGCUCAUCAGGAAGCAGUGAGUAGUAUUAUAUUCUUCUAUGUUGCCAAGUGAUGUGUGGAGAUAAAAGAAAAAAUAUAAUUAGAGAUUUGAAAUGCUACAAUGAUUGUUCACAUUAUUGAUUAAUUAGUCUUUAAUAUAUUUGAAUCUAGUAAAAAAAAAAAAAAAAUGACCAUCAGUUUUCUAAAGUCCAAGGUGACAUAUUGUUUUGUAGUAAGAAAUGUGAAAAUAUUCAGUUAACUGUGAUUAAACUGAGACCCGACAAAUAAUCAUUUGGUCCAUAAAAAAAAAGAAUUUCCUAAAACUCAAGUUGAUGUAUCCAAAUAGUUUUUGUCCAAUCACCAGUCCUAAACACUAAUUCUUAAUUGAUUUACUGUCACCUAAGUAAAAGGAACAAAAACAUUGGAACUCAGGAUUGUUUGGAAUUUUUGCUUAAACGAUCGACUGAUCAUCUCAGCUCCAUCAGUUACCUAAUUUAUUCUUUUCUUAUUUCAUAUAAUGGUAACAGUUUAUUAUCCCUCUUUAGCAUUUAUAAAUAGAAUUUAAGAUUUUUUUAUAAAUGAUUUGUAACACACUAUAAUGCAGAUAUAAGGACAUUUUACAAGUUAAUGUACAAUAUUUGUCAACAAUCAGCUUCUCCCAUGAAAAUAUAUUUUAUUACAACUGUGUUUUAAAAUUUGGUAUAAACGGUUCAUUAAAUGGCAGAAAGUGUAAAGCGUUUCCCAAAAAAGGCAGCACACCAUCACUGUCUGAUAUUUCUGUUUAUUUUCAAUAUACAUUUCAUUUGAAAAAUAUAAAUUCUAAAAUAAACAAUUUCACCUGUUUCUAAAAAUUCACAAAAAGUUAAUCCAAAAAAAAAAAAAAGUAUCAGUAUUUCAUACGCUAUAAUUAACAUCAUUAACAAGUUUUUGAUUUCAUGUUGCAGAUUUUUGUCUGACAUGCUUACACAGUAUGACACACUUUACACUAACAACUCCCCACAUAACAUGACCCAGACACGUUCGGCUGUUGACGGCUAAAAAACACUGAUGUACAAAGUUACUUCGGCUGAUGGACUGAAACAAACGGACAAAAACAAAUUCAACACACUGACCAGUGGUGGUACAAAGUAACUUGCUGCGUUUUGGUUUCGAGCCGACAUGCCUUUAUGUACAGGAUUUACAGAGGAAGAAGGCGGCUCAUUUAUCACACAGUUUAAUUGUGUUUCUGUAGUGGUGCUGAGGACGGCGUGGACUUCAAAUCGAAUCCGUGACCCACUGAGACCUAAAAAUCAAAGUGAGAAAGCGCUUCAGUUUGCCCGUCAGAGAUACAGUGGGGAUACGGUGAUGAUGAACAGUGCUAAAGAAGCCACACUUUGUUCUGUAGGUAAUACUGGCCAAUACAAGUCAAGCUGUCCAAUCUGAGGGGCUUUAUUUUUUCUCUAUGUGACUUUGGACUCACUGGCCGCUCUGUAGGGAAUGCUGUGAAGUUUUAGCAAGUCUAUCACAUGGCAUAUAUGUUGCGUAAAUCACUGUUAUCAUCCCUCCUGUUCAUACUGGCCAUGAAACAGUCCCUUCUUGGUGCGACUACACUGGGGGACAAAAUGCACUCCUGAAUUCAGCUGUUAGACGGAGGAAGUUAUGGUCUUUGUGGUACAGAGGCGUUUGCUCACUGAGCUGCAGCGCAGGGACACGUCCUGUUAGUUUCAUGUAGUUUUGCUGAACUCGACACUCGUGAUUAACUUGUUUUUUUGUUUGUCUGGAUCUGUUGUCAUAGCGACAAGUCCUCAAGCCCAAACGGCAGGUUUAUUCAGUUAGUAAAAUGCUUUUUAGUGCAAAACGAGCACUGUGGAUUAUAACCUGAUUUCUCAAAAAUCAAUAUAUUGUCUGUGUAUUG